GAUGAACGCUAGCGGCGUGGAUAAGGCAUGCAAGUCGAGGGACCCGCCUUCGGGUGGGGACCGGCGAAUGGGUUAGUAACACGUAGAUACAUACCACCUACACAGGCAUAACUCAUCGAAAGAUGAGCUAAUUCCUGAUAGUCCUGCCCUCGGGCAGGUAAAGGUUUCGAGCAAUCGAUUCCGGUGGAUGAAUGGUCUGCGGCUUAUCAGCUUGUUGGUGAGGUAAUGGCUCACCAAGGCAAUGACGGGUAGGGGAUAUGAGAGUGUGUUCCCCAACAAGGGCACUGCGACACGGGCCCUACUCCUACGGGAGGCAGCAGUCGAGAAUAAUUCGCAAUGGGCGAAAGCCUGACGAUGCGACGCCGCGUGCUCGAAGAAGCCCUUCGGGGUGUAAAGAGCUUUUCUGGAGGAAGAACCCGCCCUCGGGUGGGUGACGGUACUCCAGGAAUAAGGAGAUGCUAAUCACGUGCCAGCAGCAGCGGUAAUACGUGAUCUCCAAGCGUUAUCCGGAUUUAUUGGGCGUAAAGCGUUCGUAGGCGGUUAGAUAAGUCUCUGGUUAAAGCCCCAUGGCUUAACUAUGGGAAUGUCAGAGAUACUGUCUGACUAGAGGGCGUUAGAGGCUGAUGGAACGGUCGGUGUAGGGGUGAAAUCCGUUGAUAUCGACCGGAACACUAAAAGCGAAGGCAUUCAGCUGGAGCGACCCUGACGCUGAGGAACGAAAGCGUGGGUAGCAAAAAGGAUUAGAUACCCUUGUAGUCCACGCUGUAAACGAUGGACACUAGCUAUUUGAAGUGUCGACCCUUCAAGUGGCGAAGCUAACGCGUUAAGUGUCCCGCCUGGGGAGUACGGCCGCAAGGCUAAAACUCAAAGGAAUAGACGGGGCUUCACACAAGCGGUGGACCAUGUGGCUUAAUUCGACAAUAAGCGAAGAACCUUACCAGGGCUUGACACCUAGUCGAAACCCGCCAGAAACGGCGGACUCCCACAAGGCGGCUAGGCAGGUGCUGCACGGCUGUCGUCAGUUCGUACAUUGAAGCGUACGCUUAAGUGCGGUAACGAACGCAACCCUCGCUCUAUGUUUUAUCUGUCAUAGAGAACUGCCCGAGAUAAUCGGGAGGAAGGUGAGGAUAACGCCAAGUCAGCGUGGCCCUUUGAUGCCCUGGGCUGCACACGUGGUACAAUGGGACCGACAAUGGGCGAAACCGCAAGGUAGAGAUAAUCCCAUCAAACGGUCUCUCAGUUCGGAUUGAGGUCUGAAACUCGACCUCAUGAAGCCGGAAUCGCUAGUAAUCGCCAAUCAGCCAUGUGGCGAUGAGUAUGUUUCUGAAGCUUGUACUCACCGCCCGUCACAUUAAGGGAGCCGGCAGUAGCCGAAGUCUCUGCUUAGCAGGGCCUAAGCUAAAGUCGGUAACAAGAAUG
This 1419-nucleotide ribosomal RNA is filed under the name uncultured bacterium. Its description in RNAcentral is "bacterial SSU rRNA". It matches the Rfam family "Bacterial small subunit ribosomal RNA". The record is from RNAcentral.